Molecule: ribosomal RNA, 207 nt
Filed under: uncultured bacterium
Lineage: Bacteria
Description: partial 16S ribosomal RNA
Rfam family: Bacterial small subunit ribosomal RNA
Source: RNAcentral
CUCGUAGGCGGUUCGUCGCGUCCGGUGUGAAAGUCCAUCGCCUAACGGUGGAUCUGCGCCGGGUACGGGCGGGCUUGAGUGCGGUAGGGGAGACUGGAAUUCCCGGUGUAACGGUGGAAUGUGUAGAUAUCGGGAAGGACACCAAUGGCGAAGGCAGGUCUCUGGGCCGUCACUGACGCUGAGGAGCGAAAGCGUGGGGAGCGAACA